GAUGAACGCUGGCGGCGUGCUUAACACAUGCAAGUCGAACGAUGAAGCCCAGCUUGCUGGGUGGAUUAGUGGCGAACGGGUGAGUAACACGUGAGUAACCUGCCCUUAACUCUGGGAUAAGCCUGGGAAACUGGGUCUAAUACCGGAUAGGAGCGCCUACCGCAUGGUGGGUGUUGGAAAGAUUUAUCGGUUUUGGAUGGACUCGCGGCCUAUCCGCUUGUUGGUGAGGUAAUGGCUCACCAAGGCGACGACGGGUAGCCGGCCUGAGAGGGUGACCGGCCACACUGGGACUGAGACACGGCCCAGACUCCUACGGGAGGCAGCAGUGGGGAAUAUUGCACAAUGGGCGAAAGCCUGAUGCAGCGACGCCGCGUGAGGGAUGACGGCCUUCGGGUUGUAAACCUCUUUCAGUAGGGAAGAAGCGAAAGUGACGGUACCUGCAGAAGAAGCACCGGCUAACUACGUGC
Molecule: ribosomal RNA, 467 nt
Filed under: uncultured bacterium
Lineage: Bacteria
Description: partial 16S ribosomal RNA
Rfam family: Bacterial small subunit ribosomal RNA
Source: RNAcentral